This 347-nucleotide long non-coding RNA is filed under the name Ananas comosus (pineapple). Its description in RNAcentral is "long non-coding RNA (ACOM_LNC039411)". Lineage: Eukaryota; Viridiplantae; Streptophyta; Magnoliopsida; Poales; Bromeliaceae. The record is from RNAcentral.
AAAUCUAAACAAUCAACGAAUGUUCCAACAAGGAACGGAUAUCAAUCCAGAUUGCAUAAGGAAGUAUCAAAUACAUAAUCUACUUGCUAUUACAAGCAUUCAUUUAAAUACAUCUCAGUACACCCCAAAUCAGUUUACAUUUUACUUCCGAUUACAAUCACAAUGUACUACAUCCUUUAUUUUACAAGUUUGGUACAUCAUGAUUCUAGCCUUCUAGACCCCUAAGCUAGACUGCCUCAGGGCACUGCUACCUCGGUCUCUGUGGUGGGGCGCUAUCUACUGAGCUACGCCCUCGCCUCGCGCCGCCGCGCCGCACACGAACAACCUGAAAACCCCAAAACAACGUG